GUGCUCAUGUUAGCAGCGCUCGUGCUAAAAUUGGAAUGGGACAGAAUUAGCAUGGCCCCUGGACAAGAAUAACACAAAAUUUUGUUUCAUAUUCUG
Cricetulus griseus (Chinese hamster) is the source of this 96-nucleotide small nuclear RNA. The record is from Ensembl. NCBI's taxonomy places the organism in Eukaryota, Metazoa, Chordata, Mammalia, Rodentia, Cricetidae.